This 253-nucleotide ribosomal RNA is filed under the name uncultured bacterium. RNAcentral's name for it is "partial 16S ribosomal RNA". It matches the Rfam family "Bacterial small subunit ribosomal RNA", at positions 524 to 776 of the family's 1533-position model. The record is from RNAcentral.
UACAGAGGGGGCCAGCGUUAUUCGGAAUUAUUGGGCGUAAAGGGCGCGUAGGCGGCCAUGCGUGUCUUCCGUGAAAUCCCUCGGCUUAACUGAGGACGUGCGGAAGAAACUGCAGGGCUCGAGUCCGGGAGAGGGGGGUGGAAUUCCCAGUGUAGCGGUGAAAUGCGUAGAUAUUGGGAGGAACACCGGUGGCGAAGGCGGCCCCCUGGACCGGUACUGACGCUGAGGCGCGAAAGCGUGGGUAGCAAACGGG